RNAcentral lists this long non-coding RNA (205 nucleotides) under Lathyrus oleraceus (garden pea). RNAcentral describes it as "Pisum sativum (pea) long non-coding RNA (PSAT_LNC028997)". The record is from RNAcentral. Lineage: Eukaryota; Viridiplantae; Streptophyta; Magnoliopsida; Fabales; Fabaceae.
CACAUUUCUCCAUUUUUAUUUUCAUUUCCAUUCUUUUAUUCAUUUUUUUAUUCUGUUUUGUUUUAACUAUUUAAAAAUAUUUUAUUUAUUCAUAAAAAUACCAAAAAAUAUUUUUUACUUUCCUUAAUGUUUUAUUUAAUUUAUUUAAUUUUUAUUUUCAUAUUUUAAUUAAUGUUGAUAUUUUAUUUUAAUUAUUUAUUUCAAG